RNAcentral lists this unclassified non-coding RNA (1375 nucleotides) under Hevea brasiliensis (rubber tree). Lineage: Eukaryota; Viridiplantae; Streptophyta; Magnoliopsida; Malpighiales; Euphorbiaceae. The record is from RNAcentral.
AUAAUACCUUUCUUCCACCUUGAAUAGUUGUGGUCUCUCCGGAGAGCAAGAAAGAGAGAGAGAGCGAUGGGUUGGCUAAGUCGAUUUGUGGCGGCCGUGACUUUCUUAGCCAUCGGGGUGAUAUUCUCUCCGGAAACCUUUGGAUCUAAUUCCAUUGCUCAGCUACCGACUUAUCUGAAACUGGCUCACCUACUCAGCUUUUCCACGGCUUUUGGUGCUGCUCUCUGGGUCACCUUCAUCGGUGGCAUCAUCAUGUUCAAGAAUCUACCAAGGCAUCAGUUUGGUAAUUUGCAAAGCAAGAUGUUUCCUGCAUAUUUUUGGCUGGUGGGGGUGUGCUGUGCGAUAUCUGUGGCAUCAUUUGGUUAUUUGCAUCCAUGGAAAUCAGCUUCCCCUUCUGAGAAGUACCAGCUGGGUUUCCUGUUAUCUUCCUUGGCUUUCAAUCUUACCAAUUUGUUUGUCUUUACUCCCAUGACUAUCGAGAUGAUGAGGCAGAGGCACAAGGUGGAGCGGGAAGAAAACAUUGGGAAUGAAAUUGGGUGGUCAAAGAACCAGGAAGUUGCUAAGGCUAACCCAAAGCUUGCUGCAAUGAACAAGAAAUUUGGCAUGAUCCAUGGUUUUUCAUCCCUUGCUAAUAUUAUGUCUUUUGGAAGCCUUGCCAUGCAUUCAUGGUACUUAGCAGGAAAGAUGAAUCUGUAAUUUGUACUUCCGGUGAAGCUUGUUUCUGGCUAUAAAUUAAAUUAACUGGGCAAGGACAUGAGUGCUUUCUCUUUGAUUAUUUCUGGUUGAGUGGUUGUUCCUGGCCAAGCUGUGUAUUGUCCUGAACAAUGUGUUAAGUUUAAGAAGUUCAUCGACCUCACAUACUCUGAAAUAAAAGUUCACAGAUUUAUACUUCUAUUUGCCCUUUUGGCUCUAUGCCUCUAUUAUCAGUUUCUCAUAUGAAGUUUGCAGGUAAUGCAGAUAUAUCAUGUAUUUUGGCAUAAAAUGAUGAAAGAAGCAUUGUCAUCGUAUAACUGCCCUUUGGGUUUAUUAUGUGUAUGUUAAUACUACAAUUUGGAAACUAUUUGAAUGUUUUGCUCAUUGUCAUCAUAGAUACUCUGCAUGGCAAUUUUCAAUCUGCUAAUUAAUUCAAUCUCAUUUUGCAGUCCAUCCACACAGCAUAACGCAUCAAAGUGUCGGCAUUUCAUAUCUUUGUGGAAAGAGUAGAUUUUCCCAAUUAAGCAAUUAAGUAUAUUUCAAUUCAAUUUGUAACACCCCAACGUACAUAGAAGAAUCUGAUACAGAUAUGUCUACCAUUUUUAAACUUGGCAUACUGUCGUUCAUGGGUAACAGCACAUGAUGUUUCAUGUUUUUACUCUGAUGAAAUGAAAUGAUUUGA